Molecule: microRNA precursor, 74 nt
Filed under: Myotis lucifugus (little brown bat)
Lineage: Eukaryota; Metazoa; Chordata; Mammalia; Chiroptera; Vespertilionidae
Description: mir-9193 microRNA precursor family
Rfam family: mir-9193 microRNA precursor family
Source: Rfam by way of RNAcentral
ACUCGAGGGAGGGGGUCCCUCAGCCCAGAUUGUGAGAGGGUGCAGGCCAGGCUGAGGGACCCCACUGGUGAAGA